GGUUUUUAGAAGUUAUUAAAAAUCAAGCCUGCUCAAUGCUUAGUAAAUAGCCGCGGUAUCCUGACCGUGCAAAGGUAGCAUAAUCAUUAGCCUUAUAAUUGAAGGCUAGAAUGAAUGGUUUAACUAAAUUACUUUGUCUUAUAAUAAUACCUCAAAUUUUAUAUUUCAGUAAAAAAGCUGAAAUUUACUUUAGGGACAAGAAGACCCUAUUGAGCUUUACAAAAUAAAUUUAUUUACUCAUAAAAUAAACUUAUUUUGUUUUACUGGGGCAGUAGGAAAUAAAAAUUUUUUCUAGAUAUUGUGAAUAUUUUUCUUGCCAAAUCAAAAAAUUUUUAAUAAAAAAUAAGUUACCGUAGGGAUAACAGCGUUAUUUUUCUUCAGAGAACAUAUCUACAGAAAAGUUUGCGACCUCGAUGUUGGAUUAAGAAUCCUUUUUUACGCAGUAGUAAAAAAAGGGAGUCUGUUCGACUUUUAAAAUCUUCCA
Molecule: ribosomal RNA, 484 nt
Filed under: Diplocentrus diablo
Lineage: Eukaryota; Metazoa; Arthropoda; Arachnida; Scorpiones; Diplocentridae
Description: partial 16S ribosomal RNA
Rfam family: Archaeal large subunit ribosomal RNA
Source: RNAcentral